This is a long non-coding RNA of Cuculus canorus (common cuckoo), 12720 nucleotides long. RefSeq lists it as uncharacterized. The record is from RefSeq and is a predicted model, not a curated record. NCBI's taxonomy places the organism in Eukaryota, Metazoa, Chordata, Aves, Cuculiformes, Cuculidae. The transcript is spliced from 4 exons.
UGUAACCUCCCGCCCCUCACCCCACCAGCAAUGGUCAGGCUGCGUUUAUUUCCAUUGGGCAAGCUCCAGAAAGCACCAGGAGGUGAAAAACAAUCCCCAGAAAUGUGAAAAAUGUGGAAUGAAAUGGGGGCGGCAGGAGGAAGAGUGUGGGGAGAGAAGAUCGAGCAACCAAUAGCAAUGUGAUGGGUACAAUUUCAGCUCUUUUGCUGGUUUCAGGGCUGAGAUAAGAAAGCAGGAUGCGUGCUGAAGCCCAAGAUGUGCUUGCUGAAAAGGCAGUGAAGGGAAUCCCUGCUCCCAGCUCCUCUUGCUAUAGGUGGGAUCCUUGCACUUGCAAAGCUGGAACAGCCACGCUAAAGCUAAAAUGCAAAGGGGCUCAUGUCACCAAAGCCAUCUUUGUACUGUUCUGUGCAGUCAGGGCGUAACGAGACCAAAGCUGGCCUUGGACACACAAGGCAGUGGCUGUCCUAGGCUGCUGGGAAGACGUGAGGAGAAUCGGUAGGAGGCAGCAACAAAUCUGAAGACACAAGAUUAAGCGUGAGAAGCCCAGAGGAGAUGUCAGAAAAACAAACAAUGAACAGACCAAACAAUCCAUUUGGGCCAGAUGCUCAGUUGGUGUGAAGUGGUGCAGUGCCAUUGGAUUUGCUACAGCCAGGUGGGCUCCUGCCAGUGAUGUCACGGCAAGCCGGGAUUGGCCAGGAACUGGGUCAGGAUGAAGUGGGAUGAAGCAAACAAAACUUGAAGUCUGUGAGUGAAGGUCCCCUCCUGGCCCAUGGCGAUGCUCUCACCUUCUCUCCUGCCACAGCGCCGUUCAACCAGGUUCUCAGCAGCCACAGCGCUGUGCCAGGGCUGGAUAUGCCUGCAACCCCAGCUUGGUGAGUACGUCUGGGAAUAAUGAUAUUUAUUGCAUAGUAACACACUCUGAGCACUUCUCAAUCUAGUGACUCACAGGAACAUUUUCAUCUCGUCCACUUUCCAGUAACAGAAUGAGUUGUUGCAUUGAUUGUGUAUUUAGCAAGCUCGGAAACAGAGACACAGCUGAUGGGGGCGUGAGGUGUUCCUUCACCGUGAGCCAAAAGGGGAGACAAUGUUUAUCUGUCCAGCAUGGGUGGAAGAUGCAAUGAAUCAAGAGAACCCCUGCGGCUCACUGGUUCUCACGCCCUCGGUCUCCCUGCAUGUCCAGCAAGGAAGGUGGAUUCACAUUUGUCAGUGUCUGGUGCUUCAGCGUGCAGAGAGAAGGGGUUUCAUCUCGCAUGAUGAAUUGGUGUUUAAGCCCACAGAGAGAGACUGUGGGCUUGGCACGGCGCUGACAAGAUGUCCAACAAGGCAAGUGGUGCUCCUGAUGGGUGUGUAAUCACAGUGCAGUUUCUCAAGGAAAGCAACAGUUUUCAACCAUGAGGACUGGAGGGUAUGCUCGGAAAGUCUGAGGUCCGUCAGGAUUGUUCGACUAGGUCUUGGCAAGAGUUAGCUCUACUUCAGAUUCAGCUUCAGGCUUUAUCUGGACAUGUGACAUGGUUUGGUCACUUAAACCUUGGAUGGCAGCAACACUUGCAGAAAAACAGCCACAUCUGCACUUGUAAAAGUGUGAGAUCGCUGGAUGAAUGCUUUCCAGGCUCUAUGAGCUGCCCGGAGUGUCUGCAGCUAGCAGCUCCAGGUUUGAGCUGUGGAAUAACCCAGGUUUUAAGCCAAGUGACAGCAUCUUCAAUGCUAUUUCAACCUGCUGUUAAAUCAUUUAGUAGUUUCAGCGUGUAUGAGUCCUCUGGGCCCUGGACAGCCAUGGACAUCACAAGGUACCCUUACCCACUUUUUCUGUACAGAUGCCUACAUUUUGCCAUUUCAAAAUCUUGCUUUGAAAGGUACUAGGAAUGCUGCAAAUAUCACAAUGGGAAGAACAUAUGAAACUCAAGAGUAGCAGAGAACCGAGGCAGAGGACACAGCAUUGGGGAAGUGCUGGCAGUGCUGCAAACCACCGCAGGUAAUCUCACAAAUGCACACCGCAAGAUUUCUCCGUUUCCUCUGAGGCUGCUUGUGUCAGCCAUGAAAUAGAGAAAAUAUCUCACUGGAUUGACUUAAGUUCCCACUGGGUCUGGCAAUCUGUUUUGGUUUUUUUUUUUUUCUCAAGGGAGGAAAAAAAAAGAACACUCAGACACACAUACAACGUGAAGUAUUUUCCUCUUCAAGAGCCCUUCCUCGCUAUUCAACGCCUUCUUUAAAGAAUGGUGCAGAAGUCAAGCAGAGCUGUGCAUCAUCCAGAAGGCAUGCAGCACUCAGCCGUGACGCUCAAGGAUUCCUAGAAGCCAGUGCUGCACAGGGAGAGCUAAAGCAGGGGACUCUGCAGCAAGCGUGCAGACAAUCCUCCCAUCCGGGGAAGCGGGGCUUGGAAACAACACUGGGGGUUUGCAAUCUGGCCGUGCACGCCUUCCACUUGGAGCAAGCAGUGUCAAGGAGAAUUAGUGAGAUGACUGGAGACUUAGACUGGGAAGCAACUGCUGUUCGUAAGCCGGCUGUGACUACUCAGCCUUGCUAAUCAGAUUUGAGAAGAUGCUCCACUGCCUCAUGCUGAACAGUGCUUGUUGCGUGUUUUGCUAACAGUGCUGUGCUGGGGGGCUCUGUAUUUCAGUGAGGAAGGAAAAGGUUCCCCUGGGGAGACUAAUUUAAUGUCCAGAUAACUGAUUUUGCCAGCAGAGUGGGGAAAAGGCCGUUUGGAAACCUGUACAGCUCGGGCAUGGCUCUGAUACGCACUCUGUAGAUCAUUUAAAGUAAGCAAGGCAGGACCAAAUGCUCUUCAGAGCACCAGUUGUGAGCACUGAGGUUACCAAAAUUCAGCCUAACCCGAACCGAUUCACUGGCUGGAGAUGACCUGACAACGUGCCCACCUUCCCAGGCAGCUGCAGCCUGCCCUGACACGGGAUUCACAGAGGCUUGGUCACCCUGAGCCUCGGCGUGUCAGUGCCAAAAGGAAAAGCAACUGCAUCCAGUCCCAGCGUGGCAGAUUCAUUGCUGCUCGGCCAAUCCAGCUUGUUCAGCCCCUACACCGAAGCUUACUUUAGAGCUGUGGCGCUGGAUAUUGCGGAGCAAUAUUUGAGACAAGGGAAAGGGGAUUCUUUUGCACAGGAUUGAAAUCUUACUUAGUAAAGGAUUGUGUGGUUUUGCACAAUUUGCUUGAUACCAAUUCCUGUGAAGAAUAAAAGUUUACUUCCAUUUCCCAGUGCUCUAUUAAGGCAGCUUCCGUUCGCGCUGCCUGUGCUCUCGGCUGUGCUGUAUAUGGCAUUUCUAUUUUUAGAAACCAGGGUUGCCAUGACAACUCAGUGUAUUUUUUGUUAAAUAUAGCAGCUGUUGCAGGGAACUCUUGUCCUUCUAGAUGUAAAGGCUGUGUUUUUGCCCUCUAACAGAGCUCAGGGUAUUAAAUGCAGAUGAGAAAGGAAGAUUAAAUAAGUGUAAGCCCAGAAGAAACCAUGGAUCUGUAAUUACACGAGGGGUUUUGAAUGAAGCUCUGCGUGUCUGCUGCUUCAGAAGCAGCCCUUCUGCAUUAGAAAUGGUGUGGGGACAGGGAUGUGGGGCUUUGAGGUGGGGGCUUUAGGCUCCACGAGACCAUUCAUCCCCUCUCUCUGCUUGCUGUCCGGUCUGCCUGCCUUGCUCCAGUUCUGGUCUCUGCCCCUUCCAGGAGACAGUCUGGUCCUGGCUGUGCUCUCCAGGACUUGUUCUGCCUGGGAAGAGAUGUGAGGGGUGCCAAAUAGGUCUUGCCAUCAGAUAAUCCCUAUCCUGUUUUUGGAAAAGCAAGUUUAACCUCCUACCCACGCCUAAGGAGCUUGAAGACAAGGGUUGUGCCACAGGGUUGGGGUCUGGAGCUGCCUCUCCUGUUUGGUGAUGGAGACCUCACUGGAAGAGCUGCCAAUGCACUGGUGGUCCUGUCUCUGGGGCUGGCCCAGGUUCACAGCGUGAAAGCUCUACAGAACCUUACUGCACCCCAGAGCUUCACUGUUUGAUGGAAAAUAAACUGGUUCUGUUUCUUUUCUUUGUUAUUUGUUUAUCUGUUAACUCCAGAGGGAAGCAGCAGUGAAGUAUUUCACUCCUGUUUCAAUUUGGCUUUAUCAGUUCUUUACUGUAUCCCUGUACGGUGCAAAUACAUCCCCUCAAAGGGCUGUUUUUCAUCUCCUGAGAGGAGGGAGAAGAAGCGGGAGCUCUCCUUCUGCUGGGUUCAUUUUGUGGUUGGCACUUUGCCUUCCCAUUUCAGUGGGAGCUUCCAAAUUCAGUGAGCUCUGAGGGGCAUUUGCGAGUCUCUGUCAGCACAGCCUCUGCUUUGCAUUUCCAUUUCAGGUCUCGUUGCGCCCAGGCAGCUGCAGGAGCAGCUCUGUGCACAGAGCGGGGAGCACUAUCGCUUGGGCCAAGGGCGAUGUGUCAGCUGGGAGAUGGAGAUCUUGUUUUAAUUAACUGGUCUUUGCCUCGUUAAAUGAAAAAAGGGAACAUGGUGAACAGUAGAUACCCAGCAGGGCUUACGGUCUUUGAAAGUUUCUUUUAAAAGCGGAUGCAACAACAAAUAAAUAAAAAAACAGAGUUAAACCAGCCUGAUUUUAAAAUAUCCACGGAGGUCACUGUGACCAAGACUUUGAACAAGAAUAACAAAUCUCUGGGGUUCUUAUCUGUUCCCUGAGCUAUCGUGAGCAGCAUCUAUUGCUGGAGAUGUUAUUGCUUUUCUGAAUUUAAUAGCAUAAACGUUGCUUAUGCAAGCAGAAUGCUGCAAGGGAAGGGAUCUCCUCUUGCACACUGCAGAGCUGCCUCUGUGGACAUCAGGGCUGGGACCCGCGCUGCUGCCUGCACCCUCCAGGUGCUUCACCCCACAUCUGGCCUGGCUCUCCAGCUGGCUGCGCAAGGGGAUUUUGAGGGUUAGGCGAUUUUGAAGAAUCGGGGAUUUAGGAAGCAGCAGGAUGGAGUCAGAUGCACCGACUGCCUGCUGGACUCCGUCCUGGCCCCUCUGCAGGGCGGGAGCCUGUUCCCACGCACGUUAGAGCAUCUUCCUCUGGCUGAGGGCAUAAAAAUGGGCAUCAUCCGUGAGGGAGCACUGCCUGCACUGAAGGAAGGAAAGGCUGCCACAUCAAAUUUGAAGACUUCCUUGCAUCCUUCAGGGAAUACGUUGUCAGAGAGUUCUGGCCCGGAAAAUGUAGCUUGCGUCUGGGCAGGAGGUUUGGGGCAACCAUUUUAGGUGCUGCUUUUGUUUUAAUUCAGCAUGAAGUGAAGGGAAAACUGUGGAAUGGUCACCGCUACACGAAGAGGUGAUUACACGUGCAAUUGUGGAAGUGGAGCGUCUGUGUGUUCAGGCUCCUCUGGCUGCGAUGCUCACCCUGCAGCCUCUCUUCCUUGGCUGCCAUGGCUGGCAGGACCUGGCACGUUUGAUGUCGCCUUCCUCCGCUCUGGCUCUGCUUAGUCGCAUCCCUGAAUGUAAGAGGUGGUAUCAAGCCUCCUGUAACCCUGGGCAGAUUUAGUAGUCCCUGGUCCCAAGCAAUUUGAGCUAAAGGCACUUCAAGCAAAAAUCGUGUCCCUGAGAGUGCCCUUUGGAGUGACUUUUCCGAACAGCCAUGCCAAAGGCCACCCAAGGGCCGAGGACAAAGGUGCUUUGUGGCCAUUGAUCACGCUUUCCCCAAGGUCAGUGCCCCAGGAUCUAUCUUCCCAUCGCACUUUUAUGGGCUCUGUGCAGAGGGUGCCCUUGGCUUAUCACGAGGUCUAGUGGGGAUGGUGUCUCCCAGUCCUCAGGCAAAGCACUGGUGCCUCUGAGGCAGAAGAACUGCUGCCAGGGGGCAGGACAAGCCCAGGAUUGUGGGAAAAGCAGGCGUGGUACAGAGGAGCAGUGAUGCCAAUGCCAUACAACAGGGUCCCAGCAGUGUGAGGAGCCCAGGCAAGGCUGCCAGCAAGCGGUGCAGGAUGUUUGGUCCCUGGAGUCACUUCCACAUCAUGGCACUUCCUGCAGGGUUAGAAACUGUGCUGCGUGCUGUACGCACUGUUAGGCAGAGUUGCAGGGUUAGGGCAAUGGCUCAUGGGCUCCAUCCUUUCUCCUUGGUGGACACACAUGCCCACACCUGGUCCUGCCCAUGGGACACCACUCAUGGAACUGGCUGUGCUCUGCAGAUAAGCCUUCUGCUCGUGCCAGAGGCAGAGUUUUCCCCAGGAAUGUGUAUUUAUUAAAACUUCUGCCUCUGCUUAUAUGUCCACUUCCCUGUGUAUUCAGUGAUCCUCUUGGUGUUUAUGCUGCCCACUUUCUCCCUAUUGAUUUAUGACCUUAUUGUAAUCUCCCCAUUGUGUCUCUUCCCUCCUCCAGGCAGCACAGAGCAGGCAGCAGUCCUGGGCAUUUUUCCUUUCACCCUGCGUGUGUGCUGGUCCACCCCUCAGCCGUUUGCAGCAAUUUGAGAGAAGAAAGGCUGCUGCAGUGGCACACUUCAGCUGCAGACCAUUGCCCAUGGAAUCAAAUACUGAUGAAGCUGUGGUUUUCCCAGUUAGGAUGUUCUUGAAGGCAAUGAAGGUUCCCCAGCAGUGAUGGGGGCUUCUGUGAAUGCCUAUGAGAUGGGCGUCUGUGCCUCUCAAACCUAAGCACAUCUCUCCCUUCUUGGGUCUAGGGGCUUGUUUGUCGCUUUUUAUCAAAGCCACUUGCAAGUCUUUCUAUGUCUGGUUUUCCAACAGUCUUUAGAGACAGGCAGGAGCUGUUUAUUGCAUCUCUCCUUGGUUUCUCAUCCUUGGAUUGUGGGGGCUUGUGGCCUAUGUAGACAUGAUGUCUAAAGCUCAUGUCUGAAGUGAGAGAGCACGUCUGUGAGUCCCUGGGGAAGAAAGGUGGGUGUCUGGCUCAGCAGCAAUGUGGAAACCCCUUCUCAUGGGCUGUUUUUCUCUCCUGUCUUUUCUACAGCUUUGUGCAAUGCUCCUCCUGCACCUUCCCUCUGUCUCCCAGUGGAGAAGCCUUUGCGUUCUGGUCCCACGGCAGCUGCAGCUCCAUCUAGUCCUGGAGCACUGCACCACACCUAACACUGAAAGUUGCAGCCAACCAUAAAGCUCAUCCCUGCAGCUGAAAACGGGAGCUUUGAGCACCCCGUAUACCAAAGUGAUGCAUGAGCAUCUGCUCUGAGCUGGGGAAGAGUGAAGGAGUGCUGGGAGUUGCCUUUCCACAAGCACAGAGCUAAGGGGGCAUGGUUAUCUCAAAACCUCUAGAAACAUGGCCCUAAGUCCCAUGUCAUCAGGCCAGUACCUUAUUGGGAAGGACCUGUAGACCAUGCAGGGAAGCUGAUAUUCCCAUGUGGCAUCGUGCUGGAUUCUCAGACCCUGCUGGGCUGGAUGGGCAUCAUGCACCAUCUCCAUAGGUGGUCUUGUCAUGAUCCCGCUGCCUGGAAAUGUUCUCCUGGCGUGUACAAAAUGAGAAGGGAUUCCUGAGCAAGAGCCACUGUAAGGGCAGGGCUGUACUGUAAGUGUCGGUGUUGGGUGUUUUCCACAUAAUUUUUUUUCCUGGGGAACACAUGAAUGUCAGAGGAAAUUUUGUUUGUUUGUUUUUCCCCUGGAAGCAGACAGUUCCGCCUUUCCUUUUCCAAGCACAGCGCUGUCAGUACUCAGUGUAUCUGCCAGGCCAGCCUCAGCAGCCUCUCCAGCAGUAGCAUAUUUUUCUUCCAUUUGGGGAAAUUCUCUGAGAGCGGAGUCUCGAUGGCAGUGUUGAUUAAAGGGGAAAGUCCAUAUCUUCUGUGCGAGCGAGAGUUUCUGGGCACUGAGAAAACACUGAGUGAGUCUUCAGGAUGAGGGCACAGGGAGGAGAAAAUGGUUUAAUCUCUUGUUCUGGUUCCUAAAACUAUUCCCAGCCUCCUUGCCUCUCACAAACCUACCUGUACAUGAUUUCUUCCCUGGGCCUGCCCCGAUCCGAAUUUUCCCGUGGCUCUGUGUCUGCUGACAUGUACGUAUGGACUCAGAGUGAGGGUGGGAGGACCAGCUUGCCACCAGGUGCUUUGGAUUUCUUCCACACCUGCUCCAGGCUGAACACUUGCAGUGGCUCACACUGCCGGGAGGGGUGACUGAGGACCAAAGGGACAAUGACCUGGCUCCCGGGGACUUGUGGAAGCAGUGCAAAGUCUAAGGUGGCUGCUGUGUGCUGAGUUGUUUGGAAGUUCCAGGCACAGCAAAUGCUAAGCCUGUUGCCAAAAAUGUGGCCUCAUUGGAAGAUGCAAAGGAGAGCAUCCUCUGCUGCAAGAGGAUGGGCUCCACAAGACCCCUGCGGGCUACGUGCCAGGCUGCCUCCGGACUUACUGCCAGUGAGCAAGAGCAUCUCCUUUCUGGCAGGGGCGAGUGUCUGUAGCCUACAGCAGCCUCAGAUGAGCUCAGGUUAAACUCCUCACUCGAAACACAGGAGUUUCAGUUAAUCCUUGGUAAAGGUAAGAAGCUUUUGAAGGAAAAGGUGCAGAGAAACGAGCCUUGCAGCCUGGGAGUGGGACCAGGAGUCUCCUGGAUUCUUUAGGACCUCUGUUACUGGCUUCAUUCCCUUUCUCAAUUAAUGAGAAAGCCCAUGGAGAAGACCGCUCUGAAGAGCAGGAUGAGGGAUAAGUUAUGAUCAGAUUUGCCCACAAACUAUAAAGCUCGGCUGCUUCCACCCUUGCCACAGGAACGUGAGCUGUUUGAGUAGCACUUGUACCUGAACCAAAGCUGUGGCAGGAGGUGAGGAAGACUGAAUUUGCUGUAGGCUUGUAACCCUGUUUGCUUUUAACUUAGCCUAAAACCCAAGCAUGCAUGAAGAAAUCAGUUGUGCUGGUGCCUGAAGCAUAUUUAGAUUUUUUAAUUACUUAUUUUUAGUUUUAACCUCCCCAAAGCCUCAGUUCAGUCACUUCUAGGAGGAAGUUUGGGAAAACUGUGUGUUGCCCUGUUGAUGUGACCUGCCCGUGCCCUCACACAGGCUGGGCUGCACCUCUGGCACCUGCAGGUUCUUUGCACCUCUUGCAAGAAACAGGAGGCCAGAACAGAGGAGGUGAAGGUGAGGAUCCGCUAGUAAGCCUGUGGUUGUACUCAGGGCUGUGUGUGAAUUGCUGCUGGAGCUCCAUUGUCUUUGAUAUCUUCUCGUAUGUGCAGUGUGCAGAUUUUUACCUUCUUUAAUUUUGCCUUCAGCCUUGUGUUUGUCCAUCCAGGGAAGCCUGUCCUGAAAUCCAGACAUGACCACACGUGGCAGCCAAUGUUUGUCUUCUUCAUGUUACAGGUCUCCUCAGGGAAACGACCCCAUCACCUCAGAAAAUGUGGGGAACACGAGGGAGACAGAUGCCAAAACCUCUCCUUCUCCAAUUCAGCGAUUCUCAAAGGCAGCUGCAUCUCUGGAGUAGAAAGAGGAACAGCUGGAGAAAAAGAAAGGCCAAAUGAGAUGAUUCCAUUAGUAUUAUUUCAUCUCCCUGUUGAACAAGAGCCCAGAGCAGUCCCUUUGUCAGUGAAAUCCUCCUGUGUGCGGCUGUUUCACCAUCACAGGGCAGGGGCCACAAACAUGUGCAAGUCCUGGAGAGUUUUGCACUCUGGGAAGGACAAGAUGUCCCAGAAAAAUUGCCACAGGGGAUUUUUUGUCUCCUAAGCUAUCUGUUAUGGGGAACACUGAAGGAAACUGUGCUGAAAUGGAAGAUAAAACAAGGGUGCAUUGGACCCCAUACCUCCCCCCCCUUAGUGGUAAAGGGUGGAUGGUACCUCAGGAUAGCCUGUCAGGAAGGUAAGUUAAACAGUGUCUUAAACGAAUAACAGCAUCUUCCUUCCCUGCAUAAAAAGCUUUCCAGGUCCAAAUCAAACCCCAUUGUUUUACUGUUUCUUUUUUGAUUGUUUUUUCCCCAAUGAAUUCCAUGCUGCCACUUCAAAGGUAGGGGGGCAUGGAUGGUAUGACAGGGUGCUUCUCCCCCUUGACUGCCAAACAGCUGACCUCACAGGUGGUGUAGAAAGCAGCUCACCCUUCAAACAGCAGCAGCAAGGCACUGGCUCCACGUGGCAAGUUCAGUCUCAACUGCAAGGAGAGGCUGGCCCACACCAGACACCCUGGAGAUCUUUGGCCAAACGUGCAAGACGCACAUCUCCAGUGUGGGGCUCCUCGUGCCCUGGAAAUGACACGCUACACGUGCCCUCCCUCACCCACUGGCAGCACGGAACACUUCCAUCCCUCACUGCACACCUGGUCCAGCACUGCCAGACCCGAUGAUUUUUACUGCACGGAACAAUCUCAUUUGAAGAGCUGGGGUGGAAGGAGGGGAAGUCAAGCCUUCCAGUGGAUGCUGCGAGGAAAUAGUGCUAAAUUGACUCUAAUUGUUCAUUUAAACUAAUUAAAUUGCUGAACCCAAGGAAUUUUGAAAAGGUAGUUAGGACUCCUACCCUCCCUUCUCUCAAGAAUGUGUGCAGAGGGGUAGGUAGCCCCACGAAUUCCGGAUACAGACUUUCCUGCAGCCCUCUCUGAAGCUGCUGAUUGGUACCUGGCUUCAGGGGCAGGAGAUGCGAGGCCAGUCUGAUCUGCUCUGGCAAUUCCCUCAUCUCUAAGCAUCAUUUCCCCUCUUCUAGAAAACAAGCAUGUUUAGCAUUACACAGUUUCAGCAUCUGAGUUGCCUGACGGCUUUAAAAGGGAGUAAGCAUUCAUCCUGCUGACAUGGCAAUAAAACCAGUGCAUCUGGAAGAGAGGAGUCAGCAGCAGAUGUGCCCCUGCAAACUGCUCACUGUGAUGAAUGCUCCUCCCAGAUACUGCUAAUUCCUUUUCUCUUGCUCCUAGGCCUCCUUAAUUGUGCUCCCUGUGAUUAAAUAACUCUUUGAAGGCAUCACUAGAAGUUAUGUCUUCCAUGAGGGAAUGUCGCUUGCCAGGUCCAUAGCCUUUGGUUCUGGGCAUAGGGAGAUCAUUUUACAAGGCAGCUCGGGAGAGUGUCCAGGGUGCUCUGGUGACCCCAAAGUGCUCUGGGGAGAAGCUCCCACGGGACCAGGACCAGCCAGCUGCCUGGGCAGGACUUGGCAAGGAUACACCCGAUUGCCCCAGGUGAACCCAGGGAUGACAGAUUACCAGGAAGAUGCUGCUUCCCUGAUGUUGCUCCCUCUCCCAGCCACCCAGGAAGACCAAAGUGCAUGGGUUUGGGGAGGACAGGGGUGCCAUGGCUGGGGUGAUGUGUUAAAUCAGGCCAUCCUUCUGUGGGAAGAUGGAAGGUGGGUGCUGGUUUCCAGCCUUCACAGGCUUCCCUGCAAGCAUGGUACCCAAAGACUGUUUUUUCAAAGAAUCAUAGAAUCAUAGAUCCUCUUGGAUCAUCGAGUCCAACCAUUUCUAUCUGCCACUAAACCAUGUCCUCGCCACCUCGUCUACCCAUCUUUUAAACACCUCCAGGGAUGGUGACUCCACCCCCGCCCUGGGCAGCCUCUGCCAGUGCCCCAUGACCCCUUCUGUGAAUAAUUUUUUUCUGAUGUCCAGCCUGAACCUGCCCUGGCGCAGCUUGAGGCCAUUCCCCCUUGUCCUGUCCCCUGUCACCAGGGAGAAGAGCCCAGCUCCCUCCUCUCUACAACGUCCUUUCAGGCAGUUGUAGAGAGCAAUAAGGUCUCCCCUCAGCCUCCUCUACUCCAGGCUAAACAACCACAGGUCCCUCAGCCGCUCCUCGUCAGACUUGUUCUCCAGCCCCUCACCAGCUUCAUUGCUCUUCUCGGGACACGCUCCAAAGCCUCAACAUCCUUCUUGUGGUGAGGGGCCCAGAACUGAACACAGUACUCAAGGUGCGGUCUCACCAGUGCCGAGUCCAGGGGCAGAAUAACCUCCCUGGACGCGCUGGUCAUGCUGUUUCUGAUCCAAGCCAAGAUGCCAUUGGGCUUCUUGGCCACCUGGGCACACUGCUGGCUCACGAUCAGCCGCUGUCUUUCCACACCCCCAGGUCCUUCUCUUCCGUGCACCUCUCCAGCCGCUCUUCCCCCAGUCUGUAGCGCUGCAUAGGGUUGUUGUGCCCCAAGUGCAGGACCCGGCAUUUGGCCUUGUUAAACCUCACGCCAUCAGUCUCAGCCCAGCGGUCCAGCCUGUUCAGAUCCCUUUGGAGCCUCCCUACCCUCCAGCAGACCAGCGUUUCCACCCAGCUUAGUGUUGUCUGCAAAUUUACUUAGGGUGCAUUCAAUCCCCUCGUCCAGGUCAUUGAUAAAGACAUUGAACAGGGCUGAACCCAGCACUGAGCCCUGGGGGACGCCUGGACCGGCCUCCAGCUGGAGUUAACUCCGUUGACCACCACUCUCUGGUGGAGAGUGAAGUUAAUGGCAAAGUACCAGGUUCAUACAAGUCAUUGAUAAAGAUAUUGAAUAGAUUGAUAAAGAUAUGAAACAGGAUCUGUGGGAGGGAUGCAAAACCCCAACAGGGCUUCGAGAGUGUCCGAGAGGCUUUGCCAAAAUGCAGAUUAGAAGGGAUCUUAUUUUAUGGGUCCCUACACCCAGGAAAAAUACCAGACACAGGCAUUUCCUGCGGGACAGGCGCUGAAGCAGCUGGGAGCCAGCAGUGUCAGCGCUCCAUCUUCUGCACGCCACGCUGCUGCCACGCUCCCAAAGGCUCCCGGGGCUGGAUCUCAUCCCGCCCUGUCACUGCCCACCCUGGAGCUCCGGCUCAGUUUCCACGAGGCGGAGGAGUCAGGUCCCCGUAUAUAGAUACGAGCGAUUGCCUGAAUAUUCAUGUAUCGGCAGGCAAGCUACAGCAGGCCCUUGUUACAAACUGCUACCCAAACUGCUUACAUCCAUAAAUGAGGGAAAUAAAUAAAC